Populus euphratica (Euphrates poplar) is the source of this 342-nucleotide long non-coding RNA. RefSeq lists it as uncharacterized. The transcript has 2 exons. NCBI's taxonomy places the organism in Eukaryota, Viridiplantae, Streptophyta, Magnoliopsida, Malpighiales, Salicaceae. The record is from RefSeq and is a predicted model, not a curated record.
AUAUGGACAAGGACGAUGAAUUGAUAGAUUUGUUCACAUUUUUUAUUCAAUUAUUAUGGGGUAUCCUGCAGUGUAAAUGGAUGUGCAAUGUUUUCUGCAGGGACAGAUACAGUAGCUGUUACCAUGGAAUGGGCAAUGUCACUUCUGCUGAAUCAUCCAGAGAUAUUGCAGAAGGUAAGAGAAGAGAUUGAUAGUCAAGUUGGGCAUACGCGCUUCGUAGAGGAGUUGGAUCUUCCCAAGCUAAAAUAUCUCCGUUGCGUCAUCAAUGAGACGCUUCGGUUGUAUCCUGUUGUGCCACUCUUACUCCCACGUUGUCCAUCUGAAGACUGUACCGUGGCAGGA